This 380-nucleotide ribosomal RNA is filed under the name uncultured eukaryote. RNAcentral describes it as "partial 18S ribosomal RNA". It matches the Rfam family "Eukaryotic small subunit ribosomal RNA", at positions 592 to 976 of the family's 1831-position model. The record is from RNAcentral.
CAAUAGCGUAUAUUAAAGUUGUUGCGGUUAAAAAGCUCGUAGUUGGAUUUCUGCUUUGGACGACCGGUCCGCCCUGUGGGUUGGCAUCUGGAUCGGCCUGGGCAUCUUCUUGGGGAACGUAGCUGCACUUGACUGUGUGGUGCGGUAUCCAGGACUUUUACCUUGAGGAAAUUAGAGUGUUUCAAGCAGGCGCACGCCUUGAAUACAUUAGCAUGGAAUAAUAAGAUAGGACCUCGGUUCUAUUUUGUUGGUUUCUAGAGCUGAGGUAAUGAUUAAUAGGGAUAGUUGGGGGCAUUCGUAUUUAACUGUCAGAGGUGAAAUUCUUGGAUUUGUUUAAGACGGACUACUGCGAAAGCAUUUGCCAAGGAUGUUUUCAUUGA